Molecule: transfer RNA, 76 nt
Filed under: Armatimonadota bacterium
Lineage: Bacteria; Bacillati; Armatimonadota
Description: Armatimonadetes bacterium (oil production facility metagenome) tRNA-Val
Rfam family: tRNA
About the family: Transfer RNA (tRNA) molecules are approximately 80 nucleotides in length. Their secondary structure includes four short double-helical elements and three loops (D, anti-codon, and T loops).
Source: RNAcentral
GGGCGGUUAGCUCAGCGGCCAGAGCGCCUGCUUCACACGCAGGAGGUCGAAGGUUCAAGUCCUUCACCGCCCACCA